AAAAAAAUAUGGUAACAGUGAAGUAUUUGAAUCUUACACAGAAUUACAAAAGGAACACUUAAAUUAAGGUCAAAUAUGUGUAUCAGUUAGUAGCAAUUUAAAAGUUAGUCUGUAAUCUCAGUGCUUGGGAGGCUGAAGCAGAGGAUCCUUGUGAGUUUGAUGCCACCCUGGGCUACAAGGUGAGUUCAAAGCCAGCCUCAACUGUACAGUGAAACCCUGCUUCAAAAAGACCAAAUAAAUAAAUAAAGUUAAUGUGAAAAAAAAAAA
Molecule: long non-coding RNA, 267 nt
Organism: Cavia porcellus (domestic guinea pig)
Lineage: Eukaryota; Metazoa; Chordata; Mammalia; Rodentia; Caviidae
Exons: 2
Source: RefSeq, a predicted model, not a curated record